CAGUACAUACUGCUGUGACCUGGUUGGAAUCUCAGUUCAUAUUUAACUAAUAAUAGAGAUGUAUGAAGUUUUUGCAGAUUUCCUUACACAGAUUUCCUUUCCUUACUAUAUUUACUCUUUUCAAGAGAUCUGUAUGGUCUUCAGGUUUUACCCUGCUAAGUAAGAAGUGUUGGUUUUUUGUGGGAAAAUGAGUUGUUUUAAUGCAUCUGCCUUAGAUUUGCUUGCAACUAGCCUAAGGUGGUAAUAGAGGUAAAAGCACUGGCUGCUGCAGACACUGCAAAACGGAACAAAGUACAUUAGGGAAAACAAACUCUGCCAACCCAGAGCAAUAGGGCCACAAAAUGGGAAGAGGAGAUCAUUCCAGCAUGACACAUUUGUCUGCAAAUAAACUCUCAGCUGAAGGCAGUGGGAGGGGAAUGAGAAGGGACAGGAUCAGAGAGGAGGAGAGACUCUUCCAGAGGCCAUAUUCCUGAGGCCAAGGCUGUGUUUUCAUCUCCCAAGAGCUCUGGAAAUAAAGAUGGAUGGGAGAGACAGCGACAGAGCCAAUGGCCUGCAAUCUGCAUCCUCCAAGAAGGUGAACUGUUGAGCACUGUAGAAGAUAGGAUUUUGGUUCAUUAUUAAUUUGGUUCUGGAAAAAAAUGCUUGUUAAGUAAUCCUGUAGACAGAAGUUUUUUUCUUAUCCACAGGUAAGAUUCAAUAAGGGAGAGAUGCUGCACAACCCACACAGGAAUGCUGUCCUACCUAGACAGGCCAGAAAUAAAUGGCUGGUAACAGGAGAGUCAAGGGUAUGCAACUAAAAGAAAGCACAGAGGCUGAAAAAGACCCCGAAUACAGUUUUUUCCCUAUCUCAAGGCAAGAAUCACCUCGUCUCACUCCUAGUCCUGGGAGCAUGGCUGCUGCUAUAACAUUGCUUUUUUCACCUCCUACCACCACUGUGCCUGAUAUCUCUGCAUUCCCACCAUCUGGCCUGAAACUUACUUGAUUCCAGGAGGCGCUCCAGCUCUUCAGGGGAAACAAACUUCUCCCACU
Long non-coding RNA from Corvus hawaiiensis (hawaiian crow), 1029 nucleotides. RefSeq lists it as uncharacterized. Lineage: Eukaryota; Metazoa; Chordata; Aves; Passeriformes; Corvidae. The record is from RefSeq and is a predicted model, not a curated record. The transcript is spliced from 3 exons.